GACGAACGCUGGCGGCGUGCCUAAUACAUGCAAGUUGAACGCUAAAGCUUUAACUGGUGCUUGCACCGACCUAAGUUUUUAGAGUAGCGGACGGGUGAGUAACACGUGGGUAACCUGCCCAUCAGAGGGGGAUAACACUUGGAAACAGGUGCUAAUACCGCAUAAUUCCUUUUACCGCAUGGUAAAAGGCUGAAAGGCGCUUCUGGUGUCACUGAUGGAUGGACCCGCGGUGCAUUAGCUAGUCGGUGGGGUAACGGCCUACCGAGGCGAUGAUGCAUAGCCGACCUGAGAGGGUGAUCGGCCACAUUGGGACUGAGACACGGCCCAGACUCCUACGGGAGGCAGCAGUAGGGAAUUUUCCACAAUGGGGGCAACCCUGAUGGAGCAACACCGCGUGCAGGAUGAAGGCCUUCGGGUUGUAAACUGCUUUUGUCUGUGACGAAUAUGACGGUAGCAGACGAAUAAGGAUCGGCUAACUACGUGCCAGCAGCCGCCGUAAAAC
RNAcentral lists this ribosomal RNA (502 nucleotides) under uncultured bacterium. Its description in RNAcentral is "bacterial SSU rRNA". It matches the Rfam family "Bacterial small subunit ribosomal RNA", at positions 28 to 526 of the family's 1533-position model. The record is from RNAcentral.